Molecule: RNA transcript, 3363 nt
Organism: Aegilops tauschii subsp. strangulata
Lineage: Eukaryota; Viridiplantae; Streptophyta; Magnoliopsida; Poales; Poaceae
Source: RefSeq, a predicted model, not a curated record
GGAGGAAGCAGGGACCGUAAGUCCAUAAUCUGUCUCUGCGCUUGAACUCCUUAUCCCUGCAGAAACUUCUAGAAGCAUCAUCCACGGGCCGGAAGCCCCAUGGAUGGCGCGGCCUCUACGAAGGCGGCGGCGGCGGAGGAGGAACCCUCCGGCGACGCCGUCGAUCUCGACUCUAGCGUGCCCGCCGCCUCUGCAUUGCCCGAUCCUGGGGGAGACGUGUACGUCGUUUUGUUGGUGAAGGCGUCGCUCAAGCUGCUUGGGAAGGAUCUUCCUCCUCAAGUCCGGCACUAUGGCUUCGAGAUGAUGCAGGGUCCGCCAAUUAACUUUUUGGAUGGUCGUGGUCGAGAGCAUGAUCAACAGGGUAAGUAUAAAGUAACACCGGACUAUCGAGAAGAGGCCGAGCUACUUCGCUGGGAGCAUAAUCUCCUGUCUGAAGCAUUUGUCAGUGUGACGACCUGUCCUGGGUACAAUGGAAAUAACAUCCUUUUACACUCCCAUGUUGUCACAUUAAGUGCACUAAUAAAGUUCAGUACUGCAGAUCAUGAUGCAAAACAUAUUUUAUGCCUUUUGUCUGCUAGGAUUGAAUGUAAGGAGGAGUUGCUUUUGUCUCUACUGAAACCUUUGAACAAAAUUUGGACCCAGCCAGAGUGGAACGAAGAAUACAUGCAUUAUACAUAUCGUCUAACUGGUCUUCUUUGCAAUGAUCAAUUUAGGGAGACAAUAUGUUUGUUGGUAAAGUCAUUUGAGGAGGAGAUCAAAGGAAGCAAAAUUGAACAUUCUACGGGAACACAGGAAAAAUGCCGUCCAACAUCAACUACCAAUUAUCCGUGCUCAUCUACCUUUCCACAACUAAUGCUUGCCCUGCUCUUACGGAUCCUUCAUUUUAUACACAUGGCUUGGAUGGAUCGGUCUGAGUGCUAUGAUCUGCCAGAAAUUAUUUGGAGAGCUAGACUCAUUAGUACCAAUGAGAUAUCCACUUUUCUGAAGGAGAAUAAUACUUUACCUGCCAAUGAUGGAGUUGAUGUUCGUAGGAUGAAUGCUAUUGGAACAUGGUUACGUGAAAUUCGAGAAACUGGGUAUAAUAUCAUAGGCUUGUACGCGUCUGUUGAAAGAUCAAUUUUUGGAUUGGACUGUUCUCUUUCCAUAAAUACUCUUGCAAUGGAUAUAAGCUCCAUGGAAUUUGAUCAUGUGGGGAAACUCAUACAGCUCAGCUUCAUUCCAUUAGUCAGGUGUUGCCCUCGAGGAUGUUGGGACAAAUGGGUGUUGUUGUUGUUGGAAUCUUUAUUUUUCUACUGUAAAGAUAUCUUUGGUUAUGCGUGGCUCAGUCUUAUACACGAGGGACGCGCUGAAGUACCAGCUUACUUUGGCAAUCUUUAUGGACCUGAAGAAAAAGUCAAGAAAUUAGAAGUGGAGCUGCUGCUUAAAUUCACUCGUUCUGUAUCUUAUUUGCUCGGGGUUUUAGCAUCAGAAGAAUUUAAUAGCGGCCUUCCGCAGUUGAAUUGCCCAAAAUCUGACUUGAAAUCCAUAUCUUCCAGCUCCCUUAUGGGGUAUCUUUUACUUCACAAUUGCUUUGGGAGGUUUAGCAUGUACUCCUUGUUUGGGUCUUUGGUGGAUUAUCAAGCAGCUAAGGAAGCACUACCCUUUUGUCAUGCAUUGAUCCGCCUUGCCGUUGCUACUGAUGAUGAGAGACUGAAACAGUUUAUUCUUAAUGAAAUGCUUCCAACUCUUGUCCGGUUUGAUGAUAGGAGUCCCCCAAGUGGAAUCUCAUGGUUAAGAUCGGAGUUAAGUUCAAGCAUAGAAGUGAGUUCUAUGAAGGAUGUUGUUGGCCUUUGUCGGGAAAUAUACGACGUUUACUUGCACAAUCAGGCAAGUUAAGAAUGUAUCACUUUCUUUCUAUUGUAUACUAGUAAUUUUUUGUGAUCUCAAGGGUUCUAGCCAUAUGCCACUAAUGUUACGGAAAUUUCUUUUGUGUUCUGUUUUCGUAAAUAGCAGGAAUUCUGUGUGCUAAUUGGUAAUUGCUUUCUGCCAAAGAUACCUCUCUCCAGUCUUUAGAAUUUGGUGGCUGUAAGGUCUACUCUUGAUAAUGGCAUGACAUGGCUGCUUGUGGAUUCAUUGUUAUCUAGCUAAGUACUGGCUGCUGAUGGACCAAUUCUUUUAGAUGGUUCUGAGUAAACCGCAUAUUGACAUUUCCGUGAUUGUUUUACUUUCAAGUCCAAAAUCUAAUGAUGUCUUAGUGAUCACGUGCACAAUAAUCCACGAGCAACAUAGCGAGUCCUCCUGGAUUUUCCAUUUAGCUUCAUAUAGUAUGAUGUGAGCUGUGAGAUAUUUCUGUAAAGUUAACAUAAAUCACAAGUUCACAACCAUAUAGCUAUUUGUGUUGCUUUGGUAUACUGGCAUUAACCUUUUCUUUUCCAAGCAAAGCUCAGGUCAGUCAAACACUGUAAUAAAUUCUGCUAUGACGUAUGUUUGACCUGAUUACUAUUAUGAAGGGUGAACAGCAGAACAGAAAGACGUGUUCGGAUGGACUCAGUGAUUGGUUUGAAAAGGAAUAGGAGGAUCUUCGUAUACGCGCGUCUUUGCCUGCUCCAAAUGAUUUUCCAAAGUACCUUGUGUGGAAUUGGGAGUUCAAUGAAGAAUUUGACAGAUAUUUUCCUACCUAUAUGGAAAUGUUGCAUGAGGUGGAUACAAUGUAUGACUGUCUGGAGGUAAAUUUUUGCUCCAUCAUGUGAUAUUCAUUUAUUAAGCACAUACUCUCCAAUGCUGAAUAAAAUGCUUAGUUGUGUGACAAUGUAGUCAAGGAAACAUGUUUUCUGGUGUCCAUACACAUGUUUUGUUUGCCUUCUAUGACUACCUAAUUGUACAUCAUUAACUUGCCUAGGCAUGUAUAGAUAAUUUACAAUAUUAUGUUGUGGGGUCGUCGCAUCCUUAGUGGCGCGCUACAUCAACGCCUGGGCGUAGUGAAAAAAAUGAGCAAGGGUCUUCACAUUUAACUCGACGAAUGCGAAGGGUAAGGAAACUAGCCGAGCCUAAGAGGAUUCACUUAGUUAGCUGGAAUGUAGGGACCGUGACAGGUAAGCUUCGGGAGCUAGCUAGUUGAUACAGUGGUGAGGAGAGGUAUUGAUAUCCUUUAUGCCCAAGAAACCAAAUGAAGGGGACAAAAGGCAAAGGAGGCAAUAAGGGUGUGUUUGGUUCACGCCCCAGCUAGCCACACCAAUCUUUUGGCAUGACCAAAGCAAAGGCAUGACCAAAAUUUUGGCAAGCUGAUGUUGUUUGGUUUGGGGCCAUGGUAUCCUCCAAAUUUUGGCAAAAGAGGCCUUUGCUUGGUUUGUGACCAACUGGUACCAUGAUUAUACUACUUGAAAA